GCCUUGCUGAUGAGUGCCAACUAGGACGAAACUUAGGUCCAAGGC
Molecule: non-coding RNA, 45 nt
Organism: Trichobilharzia regenti
Lineage: Eukaryota; Metazoa; Platyhelminthes; Trematoda; Strigeidida; Schistosomatidae
Source: Rfam